Long non-coding RNA from Salvelinus fontinalis (brook trout), 3865 nucleotides. RefSeq lists it as uncharacterized. The transcript is spliced from 4 exons. NCBI's taxonomy places the organism in Eukaryota, Metazoa, Chordata, Actinopteri, Salmoniformes, Salmonidae. The record is from RefSeq and is a predicted model, not a curated record.
AUUCAUAAUCCUUCCCCAAAAACCUCACCAGAGAGCCGCCCCGGCCGUCACUCCCAUGGCGUUCUCUGCCGGUGCCUGCUCAGAUUUAUGGGGCAGUCCGGUGUCAGACUCUCGACCUGAAAGGGAUUUGGGCUUUCUUAGUGGUUAGGGAGGUGGUCAGGGGAGCAAUGGUGGAUUCUCUCUAAGCACCUAGUACCCAGUACUGGGCCUCUAGUCUGGCACACCCACCUUAUCCUGGUCUCAUACACCUCGGACACUCUGGACAUUACCGACAACGGCCCGGUCUGGCGCCGACAGUCGCAGUGUGGAUGGCAGCAGCACCAAGGUUGGAGUCCCCUUACCGACACCCACACAGCCACAUGCCCCGCUCCGCCAUGCAGACACCCAGGCACAGGACGAGCCAACGGAACAUCUGAUCAUGAAGUUUGCCAGGCUGUGGAUUCUCCAGCCCUGCAAUCGCAUAAAAUCAUUCUCCAUCCAUAUUAAAGCUCAGCCCUCUCCAUCACUGGUGCCCCUGACAACACAGGAAAUGGAUCCCACCCGACGACAGACUCAGCCUCCACACUGUUUAUCACCACAAUUAUCCCCCAUUCACUCACAGGCUUAUAAGGUAAACUGCCAUUCAGCGAUGUGAAACCACAGGUCUGGACUGGCAAUUUGAUGUAAUUGUGCCGCUGUGAUCAUCUGUAGUAGGAGCUAGGCACCUCAUUUACUGUGGCAUUCUAUUGGAGGGAGAAAAUUAGAAGGAAUGAGUCUUUGAUUUUUGGAGAGGGACAAUGGCUGAGAUCAAACAGAAUGGAGGUAGAUGUAGAAAGGGGCAGCCUGCUGGAUGCAUCGACCAAGCACAGGGAGGGGAGGGGGGACAUCCUCCCACUGGCCAUGGGGAGCUGCGGGGAUGGCACAGAGCACUGUGAACCCGGUGACAAGGACAUGUUCCCUGGCUGGGCCUGAGAGUGGGUCUGGGUCCCCCCAAAGGACACGCACACAGGACCCAUCCAGGACCCCAUCCGCUGGCCUUAACUGACCUUUAGCUAAUGGAGGUCUGGCCUCUGAUCAAUGCACUGAGAGACUGGCGGAAGCCAUCUUGCCUUUUUUUCUGAGAGAGGGGAUGGAGGGGGCAAGGGGGACAAAGGGGACAGAAAUGGACGGAGCCAAGAGCCAACAUGGGGCCAUCGACCCUGCCACUCUCCCAUCCUGUGGGUGAUAUCUGUGCCAGCGGGCCUGGGGAUGGUAAUGUCAUGAUGCUACUCUGCCCUGCCACUGAGGAAGGACGGCCAACCCCUCUGUCUCUGUCCCUGUGCUGUAGGGAGGGAAAGUCAGUGCAGAUCCACUUGUGAAUGUCAGAUAUAUCUAUAAUAAUGGCUAUCAUGGCUUUGUGGUUGAAUGCGAAUCAGCUUUAUCAGUAGGCUAUACUGCAAUUAAGAAUCUUACGAAAAACCAAGUGUUUAUGACAAGUUUAUGGACAACUUUGCAUUGAAAUUUUGCAUUGAAACUCUCUUUAGUUGUCCUCAUAGGAUAACCCUUUUUUGUUCCAGGUAUAACCCUUAUGGGUUCCAUGUAGAACCCUCUGUAGUUUGGGAUGAGUUGAGUGAAGAAGUGAAGGAGUGAAGGAAUAGCAGCCAACAAGUGCUCAGCAUAUGUGGGAACUCCUUCAAGACUGUUGGAAAAGCAUCAAAUAAAGAAAAACCCUUGAAUGAGUAGGUGUGUCCAAACUUUUGACUGGUAUUGUACAUGGAACCCCAAAGGGUUCUAUCUGAAACCAAAGCGGUUCUAUCUGGAUCCAAAGUGGUUCUAUCUGGAACCAAAGUGGUUCUAUCUGGAAGCAAAAAGGGUUCAUGAAAGGGUUCCCCUAUGAGUACAGCCGAAUAAAAAACACUUUCCGGUUCUACGGUUCUCUGUACGAGCCAGAUGGUUCACUACUGUACCUUUCAUCAUAGUAGCCUCUGAGGCACAUUCCACAUUAGCAUAGAACAACAAAUGAACAACAGCCUUUGUAUCGUAAUGACAUACACGCUUCCUUACAAUGAUGCAAAGCAAUUUAUAUGACCAACUGCAGAUAAAUCACAUUCCAUAUGGAGAGGGACAAAAGCUCAGAGAUAGAUUUGGCACGGAUUGCUCUUUUUAUUUUCAUUAUCAUUAACAGUAAUGUGAUACUCAAACCUCCUGUGACCUUUUCAAAGCUCGCUCUAUUCUCAGAAGAGCCACUCAUUAGGACAAGCAGAAGGAAAAGUGCAGAGAGAGAGAGAGAGAGAGAGAGAGAGAGAGAGAGAGAGAGUGCACAGAGUACAGUCCAAAAAUGACAUUAUAAACAUGAUUAUCAUAUUGCUGAUGUACUUUUAUACGGUGCUCCUCAAUGCACAUUCCUAAAAAUGGAAAUGCAUAAAGAUGUCAUGUGGUCACCGCGGGCCAGCGGUAAGGCAUACUGUCUGUGUGUGAUUACUAUGCAGUUACACUUAAGCCCGCUGACGGACGGACUGAGGAGGAUACGAGGCAAUCUGAGCGAGGCAUGUCUGGCCUAUGACAGGCUCAACUUGCUAGCGUUUCCUCCUUAUCGGGAGCUGGGGAUGACAAGACUAAUUGAAAAGCUCCUUAGUUUUCUUCCUCGCAUAUAAAUGGAUUACAGUCUUUGCCUUCAUGCUUUGGUCCUAUGUUUACUCAAUGAGAUCUGACACUAGAGUGGGGGGGUAGGUCCACUCCCAAUUCUAUCCCACACACCUGGUCCGAUUCUGCCCAAUUCCAUACUAACAAUCAGCGCCUCGGUCUCCAUCUCUCACCCUUCUGUGUCUCUUAUCUAGCAGGCCAAUAAACUCACAAAUCCCAUCAUACUAUAUACUGUACACAUCUUAAAGUGAUACUUUAUGCUAGCAGAUACCCAUAGACUUCCAGUCAUUGCGCUAACGCUAGUUAGCAUUGGCUCGCGAAACUACCUCGAACGUCCUUCAUACUGGACACAGACACAUAAAAAUAGUAUCCACUAGUUCUUCUGACUCUGGGCAAGUAGAUAAAGGGCCUCUUUCGCAAAAUCCUGAAGUAGCCUUUGAAUAUAUUUAUAGGUGUGGUUAUAUGGUAUUGGGGGGCUGACACCCUUGGUCAGGGACUUACGGGGGGUGCUGGGGAGCGAGGAGAGAGAUGCAGAGAGAACCCCGUGGAACCACUGAGUGGUGUGGCAGACUCCCCAGCCUCCUGCUACGAUUUGUUGGAAUGUGAGAGAGGAGGAUUUUAGCGCCAGGCCAGAGCCACGCAGACUUCAUGCCAUCUGUCUCCCCCUCUGUCCUCCCUUUGCCAAACUCAUCAGACCUUUUUUUCUCUCCUUUUCAUCCCUUGUUCACAAGACUAGGGGACAUACUGGUAUCUGCUAACGCACUGGAGGAAAGAAUGGAGGGAAGAAAUGGAAGAUGAGCUCAAUAAACAAAUGAAUAUGUAUUCAUGGAGUUGAUGUACUGACAAACUGUACGAUAUACAGUAUCUGUGACAGAGAAACUGAGUCUUCAUGUUGUAUCAAAGUUUAAUGACCAUAAAACACUUCCAAGAGUCAGUAAAGUCAGUCUUUAAAGUCUAACACUGUAAUGAAGGCAUCAAUGUCAAAAAUGUGUUUAUUUUAAUAACAAUAACCCAUAUGUAUUUAACUUCCAUUGUCCUUCAAGAAUGGCUGAAUAUUUUCUUGUGGUGUACCUGGGUAGGACUUUGUGGUAGUGGCACACUGUACAUUAUCCCGCAUGAGUUAGUAAAACAAAAGUCUGUUGCGAUUCCAACUUAUGCAUUGUGUUAUGGCAGGAACAUGUCAGAUUCAUUAUCACAACGGUUAAUAUGGUGUCAUAUCUGCCCUUCCGUUUAUUGACCAGCCAAUAAAUGGUAUCAUAAAUAA